UACUGAGUUACCGCUCUAUAACCCUUUGUGAACAUACCUACAACUGUUGCUUCGGCGGGUAGGCCGUCCCGUGAAAAGGACGCCUCCCGGCCCGGCCCGGACCCCCCGCGGGAACGGACCCGGCGCCCGCCGGAGGAUAACCAAACUCUGUUUUAACGACGUUUCUUCUGAGUGGCAUAAGCAAAAUAAUCAAAACUUUUAACAACGGAUCUCUUGGUUCUGGCAUCGAUGAAGAACGCAGCGAAAUGCGAUACGUAAUGUGAAUUGCAGAAUUCAGUGAAUCAUCGAAUCUUUGAACGCACAUUGCGCCCGCCAGCAUUCUGGCGGGCAUGCCUGUUCGAGCGUCAUUUCAACCCUCAAGCUCUGCUUGGUGUUGGGGCUCUACGGUUGACGUAGGCCCCCAAAGGUAGUGGCGGACCCUCCCGGAGCCUCCUUUGCGUAGUAACAUUUCGUCUCGCACUGGGAUCCGGAGGGACUCUUGCCGUAAAACCCCCCAAUUUUUCAAGGUUGACCUCGGAUCAGGUAGGAAUACCCGCUGAACUUAAGCAUAUCAAUAAGCGGAGGAAAAGAAACCAACAGGGAUUGCCCCAGUAACGGCGAGUGAAGCGGCAACAGCUCAAAUUUGAAAUCUGGCCCCAGGCCCGAGUUGUAAUUUGCAGAGGAUGCUUUUGGCGAGGUGCCUUCCGAGUUCCCUGGAACGGGACGCCAUAGAGGGUGAGAGCCCCGUACGGUUGGACACCGAGUCUUUGUAAAGCUCCUUCGACGAGUCGAGUAGUUUGGGAAUGCUGCUCAAAAUGGGAGGUAUAUUUCUUCUAAAGCUAAAUAUUGGCCAGAGACCGAUAGCGCACAAGUAGAGUGAUCGAAAGAUGAAAAGCACUUUGAAAAGAGGGUUAAACAGCACGUGAAAUUGUUAAAAGGGAAGCGCUUAUGACCAGACUUGCGCCCGGUGAAUCACCCAGCUCUCGCGGCUGGGGCACUUUGCCGGCUCAGGCCAGCAUCAGCUCGCUGUCGGGGACAAAAGCUUCGGGAACGUAGCUCUCUUCGGGGAGUGUUAUAGCCCGUUGCAUAAUACCCUUCGGCGGGCUGAGGUACGC
This 1094-nucleotide ribosomal RNA is filed under the name fungal endophyte. Its description in RNAcentral is "eukaryotic LSU rRNA". The stretch from base 509 to 1094 matches the Rfam family "Eukaryotic large subunit ribosomal RNA", at positions 1 to 598 of the family's 3401-position model. Lineage: Eukaryota; Fungi. The record is from RNAcentral.